GUCCUCACUUCGGCUGCACAUAUACUAAAAUUGAAACGAUACAGAGAAGAUUAAUGUGGCCCCUGCACAAGGAUGACAUGCAGGUUCAGGAAGUGUUCCUUAUUUUU
Molecule: small nuclear RNA, 107 nt
Organism: Bubalus bubalis (water buffalo)
Lineage: Eukaryota; Metazoa; Chordata; Mammalia; Artiodactyla; Bovidae
Source: RefSeq, a predicted model, not a curated record